UCUAGAACUCAAGAUAUGAGCUAUAAACUGAACAAUGUCUUAGCUGCAGGACAGAUUCCGACUUCUCCGUUGUUGCUAAGAUUUGAACUUAAAAAUGGCAGAAUUGAGUCUUGGACUUCAUGAAAGUUUUAGGUCUAUGUCUUAGCUUUCCAUC
Molecule: non-coding RNA, 154 nt
Organism: Populus trichocarpa (black cottonwood)
Lineage: Eukaryota; Viridiplantae; Streptophyta; Magnoliopsida; Malpighiales; Salicaceae
Source: Rfam